GACUGCUAAUACCGCAUAAGCCCACGGCUCGGCAUCGAGCAGAGGGAAAAGGAGCAAUCCGCUUUGAGAUGGCCUCGCGUCCGAUUAGCUAGUUGGUGAGGUAAUGGCCCACCAAGGCGACGAUCGGUAGCCGGACUGAGAGGUUGAACGGCCACAUUGGGACUGAGACACGGCCCAGACUCCUACGGGAGGCAGCAGUGGGGAAUAUUGCACAAUGGGGGAAACCCUGAUGCAGCGACGCCGCGUGGAGGAAGAAGGUCUUCGGAUUGUAAACUCCUGUUGUUGGGGAAGAUAAUGACGGUACCCAACAAGGAAGUGACGGCUAACUACGUGCCAGCAGCCGCGGUAAAACGUAGGUCACAAGCGUUGUCCGGAAUUACUGGGUGUAAAGGGAGCGCAGGCGGGAAGACAAGUUGGAAGUGAAAUCUAUGGGCUCAACCCAUAAACUGCUUUCAAAACUGUUUUUCUUGAGUAGUGCAGAGGUAGGCGGAAUUCCCGGUGUAGCGGUGGAAUGCGUAGAUAUCGGGAGGAACACCAGUGGCGAAGGCGGCCUACUGGGCACCAACUGACGCUGAGGCUCGAAAGUGUGGGUAGCAAACAGGAUUAGAUACCCUGGUAGUCCACACCGUAAACGAUGAUUACUAGGUGUUGGAGGAUUGACCCCUUCAGUGCCGCAGUUAACACAAUAAGUAAUCCACCUGGGGAGUACGACCGCAAGGUUGAAACUCUAAGGAAUUGACGGGGGCCCGCACAAGCAGUGGAGUAUGUGGUUUAAUUCGACGCAACGCGAAGAACCUUACCAAGUCUUGACAUCCCUUGACGAUGCUGGAAACAGUGUUUCUCUUCGGAGCAAGGAGACAGGUGGUGCAUGGUUGUCGUCAGCUCGUGUCGUGAGAUGUUGGGUUAAGUCCCGCAACGAGCGCAACCCUUAUGGUCAGUUACUACGCAAGAGGACUCUGGCCAGACUGCCGUUGACAAAACGGAGGAAGGUGGGGAUGACGUCAAAUCAUCAUGCCCUUUAUGACUUGGGCUACACACGUACUACAAUGGCGUUAAACAAAGAGAAGCAAGACCGCGAGGUGGAGCAAAACUCAGAAACAACGUCCCAGUUCGGACUGCAGGCUGCAACUCGCCUGCACGAAGUCGGAAUUGCUAGUAAUCGUGGAUCAGCAUGCCACGGUGAAUACGUUCCCGGGCCUUGUACACACCGCCCGUCACACCAUGAGAGCCGGGGGGACCCGAAGUCGGUAGUCUAACCGCAAGGAGGACGCCGCCGAAGGUAAAACUGGUGAUUGGGGUGAAGUCGGAACAAGGU
This 1315-nucleotide ribosomal RNA is filed under the name metagenome. Its description in RNAcentral is "bacterial SSU rRNA". It matches the Rfam family "Bacterial small subunit ribosomal RNA", at positions 158 to 1497 of the family's 1533-position model. The record is from RNAcentral.